UUGAAGAAUUUGAAGACUUCGACUUGCAGACUCUUCAACUUGUAGACUUGAAGAAUUUGAAGACUUCAACU
Molecule: microRNA precursor, 71 nt
Filed under: Solanum tuberosum (potato)
Lineage: Eukaryota; Viridiplantae; Streptophyta; Magnoliopsida; Solanales; Solanaceae
Description: MIR8024 microRNA precursor family
Rfam family: MIR8024 microRNA precursor family
Source: Rfam by way of RNAcentral